CUUUUGAUGGCUCCCUUCUCAGACUGGCUUCUUAUCCAGCCCCCUUGCCUCCCUGAAGCAGCUCUCCUGAAGGCCAACCAUGUCUUCUUCAAGGCUCCAGUUCCCUACGGAUGUGCCUCCUCACUCUUUGAAACUGAAACCAGAGAACCAAGUCAUGCGGAGGACCAGCUGCAACCACAAUGGAUCGGCCCUUCUGAGGAAAUCUACUCUCAGGCAAGAAACUAAAACUCACCGGAUCAUUUCAUCUGAACAACAAUAUUCCAGACCACUCAUCAAUCAUGAUUGCUUCCUUACCUCCAUGAAUUCCUGCUUUCCCACCUCCCUGCUUCCCUGCUAUAUACACCUCCCGAUUUUAGUCGGUCAAGGAGAUGGCUUUGAGACCUUAUCUCCCAUUCUCCUUGGCUGCAGCACCUGAUUAAAGCCCGCUUCCCUGUCAGUACUCAUUGCCUCAGUGAUUGGGAUUCCGUCCGUGCAGCAAGCAACAGGACCUAGACUGAACCCCUGGCAUUUUGGUAACAUCGAGA
Molecule: long non-coding RNA, 524 nt
Filed under: Homo sapiens (human)
Lineage: Eukaryota; Metazoa; Chordata; Mammalia; Primates; Hominidae
Description: non-protein coding lnc-DPYS-3:1
Source: RNAcentral